Long non-coding RNA from Tachysurus fulvidraco (yellow catfish), 2158 nucleotides. RefSeq lists it as uncharacterized. The record is from RefSeq and is a predicted model, not a curated record. The transcript is spliced from 2 exons. Lineage: Eukaryota; Metazoa; Chordata; Actinopteri; Siluriformes; Bagridae.
CGUUCAUCCCGUUGGCCAUGGAGAAGGAUUUCAAGUGACUCUUAAUGGCGACGGGGAGCGGAAGCUUGUCUAUCAGGUGCACCGGUGUGCACGAGACGAUGGCGCGACAGCACAGGUCCUGCAAGCUGAACACUGGAAAGAUACAGUGAUGAAGAUUCAACACAAGAGCAAAGACACUAAAGAUAACUCAAGAUGGCGGCGCAUGCACAACGCCUCUCCAGAUUUUGCGAUUUGGUAGCAAUUUCUCCAUCAACAGCAAGUCUAUUCACUCAGAACAAGUUUGCACACAUCUCAUACAGCCGACAAGAUGCUUUCAUGUAUACCACUUGCUGUAAAUAUGCUAGAUAUUUAUCUGCACUUUUGCACGACUGCUACAUUUUGCACUUCUGGUAGAUGCCAAACUGCAUUUCGUUGCUGUGGACCUGUACUAUGCAAUGACAAAGUUGUAUCUAUCUAUCUAAAGGUAAGUGAAAAACUUUUAUUGGUUACUUUUGCAACAUGCGAGUAACGAGGCUGUCUUAACAACGUUUGUUUGAUUUCUAGAUAUGAUCAGUACUUGUGCAGUACACCGUGUAAACCUAAACACACAAUGUUUCAUAGGGAACUCGUUUACAAGAAUUCAGAAGAUAAAGUGGUGUAAAAUAAUAUCUAAUUUUUUUUAAUUUAAAAAAAAUUUGUUAGACAGUGAGUGAUAAAAUAUACCACUUUGGAGGAGGUCAUUUUCCUGUAACGGCCACAAAUAUUUGAUUCCUUUCAUAAAACAGAAAUGUGCGAUUACAAUUUUAAUUAAUGAAACAAAACCUACAUUUUUUUAGCUGUCUGGUGUUCUCACUUGUUAGAGCAACGAUACACAGUCGUUCCUUCACCAGCCUUAUUAUUAGUUUGACUUUGUUACUGAGAAAUCACCAUAAAUUCCUCUGUCCUGAAAAUGUCAUAUUUUGUAAAGGUUACAGCUUUAAGUGUUACCAAGUGCAUUUAACAUGUAUGGAAAGAGCCUCCAAUCUCUUUACAGAAAGCUUGGCCACGUCAGCAUCCCUGUCAAUGUGCUGUUACUAUAAAUACGCUAACACCUAGAAUCUAGUAAGCUAUUGUUUCUACAGUAACAGGGAUGUUGACAUGGCCAAGCUUUCUGUAGAGAGAUUCUCAGUUCAUUUAACAUGUACAGAAGAGUAAAGCAGGAACUUGUACAAUGGACAGAAGGGCUUACACUUUGCUGUAGCUCUGUUCUUUUUAAGUCUCGUUUAUUAAAUGGGGGAGAGAGAGAACAAAGGUGGUAGGGAAACAGUUUAUUGCUGCAGUAACAUACAUGAGAACAGGAACUAGUUUCACAAAAUUAACAAUAAUUGUAUUAUUUCACACAUCUCUGUAGUAUAAGAGGAAUGAAACAUUUGCGGCCGUACAGUUACAGGAGAAUGCUCAACCUCCAGGUGGCGCCGGGAACUCGAACACAUACAACCAAUACUUCGUAUUCACCGUACUGCGAAUCUCAGAAGACAGUCAGUAGCAGUCAACUUAGACAGGCCAUGCACCUCCCCUGUUUACUACACAGAUUUGUGUUAUGUCUGCUAUAGGCCACACCCCUAAGAUCUAUCAGAACUUACUUAUUAGGAACACUUGCUCAUUUCUAUAGUUAUCUAAAAAGGCAAUCAUGUGUCAGCAAUAAAGUGCUGCAGAUAGUGAGUGUAUAAGAUUGUCUGCUAAAUUUUAGGGGCACGGCCUAGAGAGCCGUAACACCAAUCUGUCCCCUUUCUUUCUAACAGACUCACCUCGGUUGGGCCUCCAGAACUUCUCCAUUCCGUGUCUCAUGAGCACGAUGCGCGACAGCUCCGUGAACGACUCGAUGACGUUGAAGUUGCAGAGCGGACUGACUUCGAAGAAGGUCAUGGCGUUUUUCUCAGCAUAGGAGCGAGCCUGCUCUGUGGGAACCUGACGCUUGAAUGCCAAGUGUAGUCGGUUCCCCACCAGGAUCCGAGGAACCCCGGGGGCGUGCUGCAGAUACAAAAGAACCGCAUGAUCACCAUCAUCAUUACUGUUAUUGAAUCUCUUGCACCGAAAUAAAAGUGGGGUGUUCCUGUAGAGAAAUGCGCACACCAACACGAUACUGUACACUACACACUUCAAUACUUUCACAUAAAUAAAAUUCUGCUUGACGUUUCCA